CGGGUGCGUAAUACGUGAGAAUCUGCCCUUAGGAGGAGAAUAACUUCUGGAAACGGUUGCUAAGUCUCCAUAUGCCGAGAGGUGAAAUAGUUUAUACUGCCUAGGGAUGAGCUCACGCCUGAUUAGCUUGUUGGUAAGGUAAUGGCUUACCAAGGCCACGAUCAGUAGCUGGUUUGAGAGAACGAUCAGCCACACUGGGACUGAGACACGGCCCAGACUCCUCCGGGAGGCAGCAGUGAGGAAUUUUCCGCAAUGGGCGAAAGCCUGACGGAGCAAUACCGCGUGAGGGAUGAAGGAUUUUGGUCUGUAAACCUCUUUUUUCAAGAAAGAAGUUCUGACGGUACUUGAGGAAUAAGCAUCGGCUAACUCCGUGCCAGCAGCCGCGGUAAUACGGGGGAUGCAAGCGUUAUCCGGAAUCAUUGGGCGUAAAGCGCCUGUAGGUUGUUUAAUAAGUCUGUUGUUAAAGACUAGGGCUUAACCCUAGGAAAGCAAUGGAAACUGCUAGACUUGAGUAUGAUAGGGGU
RNAcentral lists this ribosomal RNA (524 nucleotides) under uncultured Emiliania. RNAcentral describes it as "bacterial SSU rRNA". It matches the Rfam family "Bacterial small subunit ribosomal RNA", at positions 103 to 658 of the family's 1533-position model. Lineage: Eukaryota; Haptophyta; Isochrysidales; Noelaerhabdaceae. The record is from RNAcentral.